GGGGGUGCACUGGCUUCGACGGGGGUCGCAAAGUCGCUUGGCGCAUGCCGAGGGGGUAGCUUUCCUCGUAAAUCCAGCUGCAAAACUCUAGUUGCCAACGACGACAACUACGCUCUCGCCGCUUAAGGCGUAAGCCCCGAAACUGCCUGUGUCCGUGCUAGCAGCGUAGGGUCAUCAUCACGGAAUCGCUGGAAGUGGCUGCCUGUCAGCUUCUGGUCAACCUAAAGCAGGCUGGUCCCCGGAUGCGCUUCGCGCACCGUGCUGUCCGGGGACGAGAUCCAACGGUGAGCUAAGCAUGUAGUGCCGGGGAUGGAGUGCCUUCGGACGGGGGUUCAAUUCCCCCCACCUCCACCA
Non-coding RNA from Lysobacter sp. Root494, 354 nucleotides. It matches the Rfam family "transfer-messenger RNA". From Rfam's summary of the family: Bacterial tmRNA, also known as 10Sa RNA or SsrA, is named for its dual tRNA and mRNA-like properties. Its role is to liberate the mRNA from a stalled ribosome. To accomplish this part of the tmRNA is used as a reading frame that ends in a translation stop signal. NCBI's taxonomy places the organism in Bacteria, Pseudomonadati, Pseudomonadota, Gammaproteobacteria, Lysobacterales, Lysobacteraceae. The record is from Rfam.